Molecule: ribosomal RNA, 52 nt
Filed under: Aspergillus tubingensis
Lineage: Eukaryota; Fungi; Ascomycota; Eurotiomycetes; Eurotiales; Aspergillaceae
Also listed under: 54 other names
Description: partial 28S ribosomal RNA
Source: RNAcentral
GGUUGACCUCGGAUCAGGUAGGGAUACCCGCUGAACUUAAGCAUAUCAAUAA